ACUUUAUUUUCAACAAAGAGAGAGAAAGUUCUCCCCUUUCCUUCUUAUCUCAUCAAAAUCUUUCAGAAGGAGGGGAGUUCGUCAGUUUUUGUAUAUCACCAGGUUCUUUUUCCGGUGGUUGUGGUUGAUCGCUCGUUGAUUGAGCUUUAUCUCCGGCUUCGGUUCAUCCGACCGGUUUUGCUUCCGGCGUCGCACUUGUCCAUCGGUGGUCGGCCGGCUUUCGACUUCGGCGUUCUCACCUUCUUCUCCGGUGACGGACGGCUGACUCUUGUCUCCGCGUCUCACUUUGUUUGGUGUUGACUGCGGCGGUUCACCGGGAUUUCCCGGUUAAGAUCGAUCUACGGUUCAUGCAUCUCUUCCGACCAAUCGACUCUCCGUUCUCACCUUCGUUGUUCCUUUCCUCUCCUCUGUCGAGGCCGUAUCAUCUUUGAGGUUUCUCUUAUCUUUAAAGAUGUCUGAAGUUCUUGUUGGAAAGUCGAAGGUUCUCGGAUCGAUUGAAGUCAAUUGGGUUUCUUCUCCGAAUCGUAGAUCUAGCGGACGAGUUGGGUUUCAGUGAAAGAUGUUUCUGGUUGAACAUCCGUUCCACCGAUUUGUCUCCGUUGACGGCGGUGGUCCGUCUUGCCGCUUCUCUUUUGCCGGCGGAAGUGAUUCGAUCGGGUCUUGACGCGUGUCCAUUGACUGCAGGGCAGUCGAACACGUGGUGGGCUUAGGUGUUUACUUCCUCUACGGGUUUCCUCUAUGGGCCUACGGUCUGUAGUUGUACUGUAAAGUUGGGUAUUUUGUUUGGGUCUUCGUUUUACUGUGUUGGGCUUUGUCCAUUUGGACUCUGUUCCUUUAAUAAAAUCUCAGAUGACAAAAAAAAACUUUAUUUUCUUCUGAUCUAGUCUAGACCCUAUUACGAUGGAAUCAAGUUUAAACACAAAAACAUGGCUCAAGCGAUCAAUCGUAUUCAUAUGAUUAAACAUUUUUUGCAUAAAUAAAGUUGGGUAUGUGCACACAUGGUGAAUGUGUAUGUAUGUUACGGCAGUGUAGAAAAGACAAGAUGUUGAUUUUUUAAAAAGGACCACCU
RNAcentral lists this long non-coding RNA (1069 nucleotides) under Brassica rapa (field mustard). Its description in RNAcentral is "long non-coding RNA (BRAP_LNC005953)". The record is from RNAcentral. Lineage: Eukaryota; Viridiplantae; Streptophyta; Magnoliopsida; Brassicales; Brassicaceae.